UCGGGUACUGUCUGCUCCAGGGGGCGCUCGCUGCACGGGUGGAUAGAAGGACAAAGAACGCAGUUUGGCACAGGGUGGGUCUGUCUGUGUGUUCAGGUGCACCCAAGCGCAUAUAUUGCGGCACCAGAGUAUCCGCACAACACAGAUGCCGCAGGGUGAUUAAUUUUCCUGCAAGCAACCAGAUGGCGCGGGUGUAGCUGAUGAGGUGGCUGUGGAGGAAGGCACUGAUGGUGGAGACAGAUGGCGCUCACGUGCUGACUUACCCAAAAGAGUACACGAUGCAUCCACUGGAGGGCACCAGGUUGUUGUCGAAGCACACGGGCCAGUUGCCCAUCAUUCGUCUGUCUUUACAGUUGAAGUCUGUCGUGUACCAGUCGCUGAAACAAAACUCACUUUACACUAUCAGUUUGUUUAUGCCUGAAAAGGAACAAAAUAUAUUUCAGAGUUUACAAAAGCAGUUAGACAAUUCUAAUUAUUAGACCUCAGCAGUAUAGCGAAUGCAAGGCAAUUUACAUUGAAAUUUUAUAAAUUUAUGGAUUUCACUGAAAACUUAUGAGAUAAUUGAACGUUAAUAAAUUAAAUAGAAUUAACUUUCAUUUUAAGUAGGUAUAUCGUCUUACAAUUACAUUAUUCGUUCCAUCAGCUUUACUUGUAUAUAGUCCUUGAUGACAUAUUUUCACAAAUACAACUUCUAUAAAUGCCAGUUUUAUUUAGAAUAUCUCAAAGCAUGACUAGAUAACUAUGUGUAACUAAAGAUGAAUAUAAGAGAUACUAUCUCAAGACAUACUGGUAAAUUAUACAAGCAUCAUUUUAACUCCCUUUUCUAAAAAGGUUUUGUGAUGUUGAGGUGCAUCUCUUGUACAUCAAUCUUUUGCUUAAAUCCUCAGACAGCAUAGCUACAUUCUGACAUCCAAGUGGUGCACCUUGGCUUACAGAGCCAAUUGUAAAUACUUGGCUUGAAUGAUUUAUCCCAUUGAAUAAAUCUGUAAAGAUUGGUCUUACACUGAUAGUGUUGUUAACUUGCACUAGCAUGUGACUGAUGUUAUCUUGGUGAGAUCACCUUCUUUAUGAAAUAAGAGAUUGCUUGAUGAACAGGAGAGACAGCAGAAUAAACGAGGUGCAACAAAAUAGAGAUAGGCAAUGAAUGCAUUGGAUCUGUGAUUUUAGAAUAAAAAGUGUUGGUACAGACUGAUGUAACUAAUGCACUGACAAAGAUUUGUUCUGUUGAUAAAUAGCAUUUUUGCUUAAUUACAUUAGCAGCGUUACAAAUAACCUUACCUCUCUUGCAACACAUAUUUUUUUCAUUAAUUAAAUAUUUAAAAUUCAAA
This is a long non-coding RNA of Pomacea canaliculata, 1328 nucleotides long. RefSeq lists it as uncharacterized. The record is from RefSeq and is a predicted model, not a curated record. The transcript has 2 exons. NCBI's taxonomy places the organism in Eukaryota, Metazoa, Mollusca, Gastropoda, Architaenioglossa, Ampullariidae.